GGCUUCGUGGUCGAAUGGUAAGCAUACUUGCCUCUUACCCUAGAGUUCCGGGUUUGAUACCCGGUCGAGGAGCUA
Rhamnusium bicolor is the source of this 75-nucleotide non-coding RNA. The record is from the annotation of a GenBank genome assembly. Lineage: Eukaryota; Metazoa; Arthropoda; Insecta; Coleoptera; Cerambycidae.